AUGUUUUUAGUAUAUGAAGUACACUUACCUUCCAAGUAAGAAGAUUAGAUAAUUAAAAAACAUA
RNAcentral lists this transfer RNA (64 nucleotides) under Amynthas distichus. RNAcentral's name for it is "tRNA-Gly". Lineage: Eukaryota; Metazoa; Annelida; Clitellata; Crassiclitellata; Megascolecidae. The record is from RNAcentral.